Molecule: ribosomal RNA, 899 nt
Filed under: Vibrio harveyi
Lineage: Bacteria; Pseudomonadati; Pseudomonadota; Gammaproteobacteria; Vibrionales; Vibrionaceae
Description: bacterial SSU rRNA
Rfam family: Bacterial small subunit ribosomal RNA
Source: RNAcentral
CCUACACAUGCCGUCGAGCGGAACGAGUUAUCUGAACCUUCGGGGAAAGAUAACGGCGUCGAGCGGCGGACGGGUGAGUAAUGCCUAGGAAUUGCCCUGAUGUGGGGGAUAACCAUUGGAAACGAUGGCUAAUACCGCAUAAUACCUACGGGUCAAAGAGGGGGACCUUCGGGCCUCUCGCGUCAGGAUAUGCCUAGGUGGGAUUAGCUAGUUGGUGAGGUAAUGGCUCACCAAGGCGACGAUCCCUAGCUGGUCUGAGAGGAUGAUCAGCCACACUGGAACUGAGACACGGUCCAGACUCCUACGGGAGGCAGCAGUGGGGAAUAUUGCACAAUGGGCGCAAGCCUGAUGCAGCCAUGCCGCGUGUGUGAAGAAGGCCUUCGGGUUGUAAAGCACUUUCAGUCGUGAGGAAGGUAGUGUAGUUAAUAGCUGCAUUAUUUGACGUUAGCGACAGAAGAAGCACCGGCUAACUCCGUGCCAGCAGCCGCGGUAAUACGGAGGGUGCGAGCGUUAAUCGGAAUUACUGGGCGUAAAGCGCAUGCAGGUGGUUUGUUAAGUCAGAUGUGAAAGCCCGGGGCUCAACCUCGGAAUAGCAUUUGAAACUGGCAGACUAGAGUACUGUAGAGGGGGGUAGAAUUUCAGGUGUAGCGCUGAAAUGCGUAGAGAUCUGAAGGAAUACCGGUGGCGAAGGCGGCCCCCUGGACAGAUACUGACACUCAGAUGCGAAAGCGUGGGGAGCAAACAGGAUUAGAUACCCUGGUAGUCCACGCCGUAAACGAUGUCUACUUGGAGGUUGUGGCCUUGAGCCGUGGCUUUCGGAGCUAACGCGUUAAGUAGACCGCCUGGGGGAGUACGGUCGCAAGAUUAAAACUCAAAUGAAUUGACGGGGGGCCGCACAA